CAGCCGCCGCGGGAAUACGAAGGGGGCUAGCGUUGUUCGGAAUUACUGGGCGUAAAGCGCACGUAGGCGGAUAUUUAAGUCAGGGGUGAAAUCCCAAGGCUCAACCUUGGAACUGCCUUUGAUACUGUUUGUCUUGAGUUCGAGAGAGGUAAGUGGAACUGCGAGUGUAGAGGUGAAAUUCGUAGAUAUUCGCAAGAACACCAGUGGCGAAGGCGGCUUACUGGCUCGAAACUGACGCUGAGGCGCGAAAGCGUGGGGAGCAAACAGGAUUAGAUACCCGUGUAGUCCCUGUCUCUUAUAC
This 301-nucleotide ribosomal RNA is filed under the name uncultured bacterium. RNAcentral describes it as "partial 16S ribosomal RNA". It matches the Rfam family "Bacterial small subunit ribosomal RNA", at positions 509 to 807 of the family's 1533-position model. The record is from RNAcentral.